UACGAAGGGGGCUAGCGUUGUUCGGAAUUACUGGGCGUAAAGCGCACGUAGGCGGCGCAGCAAGUUAGAUGUGAAAUGCCUGGGCUUAACCUAGGAACUGCAUUUAAGACUGCUGUGCUAGAGACCGGGAGAGGGUGGCGGAAUUCCCAGUGUAGAGGUGAAAUUCGUAGAUAUUGGGAAGAACACCGGUUGCGAAGGCGGCCACCUGGACCGGCACUGACGCUGAGGUGCGAAAGCGUGGGGAGCAAACAGG
Molecule: ribosomal RNA, 253 nt
Filed under: Rhodospirillales bacterium
Lineage: Bacteria; Pseudomonadati; Pseudomonadota; Alphaproteobacteria; Rhodospirillales
Also listed under: 1 other name
Description: partial 16S ribosomal RNA
Rfam family: Bacterial small subunit ribosomal RNA
Source: RNAcentral